GCUCCCAUCCUCUAAUUUGGCUAGGAGGCCAGCCUCUCACGCUGGCAAUGCCGGUUCGAGGCCGGCUGGGAGCCCCA
Molecule: transfer RNA, 77 nt
Filed under: Pseudoflavonifractor phocaeensis
Lineage: Bacteria; Bacillati; Bacillota; Clostridia; Eubacteriales; Oscillospiraceae
Description: tRNA-Glu
Rfam family: tRNA
About the family: Transfer RNA (tRNA) molecules are approximately 80 nucleotides in length.
Source: RNAcentral